RNAcentral lists this ribosomal RNA (253 nucleotides) under uncultured bacterium. Its description in RNAcentral is "partial 16S ribosomal RNA". It matches the Rfam family "Bacterial small subunit ribosomal RNA", at positions 524 to 776 of the family's 1533-position model. The record is from RNAcentral.
UACGUAGGUGGCAAGCGUUGUCCGGAUUUAUUGGGUUUAAAGGGUGCGUAGGCGGCCCUGUAAGUCAGUGCUGAAAUAUCCCAGCUUAACUGGGAGGGUGGCAUUGAUACUGCGGGGCUAGAGUACAGAUGAGGUAGGCGGAAUUGACGGUGUAGCGGUGAAAUGCUUAGAUAUCGUCAAGAACACCUAUAGCGAAGGCAGCUUACUAGGCUGUAACUGACGCUGAGGCACGAAGGUGUGGGGAUCAAACAGG